CGCCUUGCCAGCCCGCUCAGAAACUCAAAGGAAUUGACGGGGGCCCGCACAAGCGGCGGAGCAUGUGGAUUAAUUCGAUGCAACGCGAAGAACCUUACCUGGGUUUGACAUACACCGGAAAACCGUAGAGAUACGGUCCCCCUUGUGGUCGGUGUACAGGUGGUGCAUGGCUGUCGUCAGCUCGUGUCGUGAGAUGUUGGGUUAAGUCCCGCAACCGAGCGCAACCCUUGUCUUAUGUUGCCAGCACGUGAUGGUGGGGACUCGUAAGAGACUGCCGGGGUCAACUCGGAGGAAGGUGGGGACGACGUCAAGUCAUCAUGCCCCUUAUGUCCAGGGCUUCACACAUGCUACAAUGGCCAGUACAGAGGGCUGCGAGACCGUGAGGUGGAGCGAAUCCCUUAAAGCUGGUCUCAGUUCGGAUCGGGGUCUGCAACUCGACCCCGUGAAGUCGGAGUCGCUAGUAAUCGCAGAUCAGCAACGCUGCGGUGAAUACGUUCCCGGGCCUU
Molecule: ribosomal RNA, 506 nt
Filed under: uncultured Rhodococcus sp.
Lineage: Bacteria; Bacillati; Actinomycetota; Actinomycetes; Mycobacteriales; Nocardiaceae
Description: bacterial SSU rRNA
Rfam family: Bacterial small subunit ribosomal RNA
Source: RNAcentral